This 131-nucleotide small RNA is filed under the name Enterobacter hormaechei. RNAcentral describes it as "RtT sRNA". It matches the Rfam family "RtT RNA". Rfam says of the family: This family represents a bacterial cis-regulatory element known as RtT RNA. The exact function of RtT is unknown although it is thought that it may be involved in changing the cellular response in relation to amino acid starvation. Lineage: Bacteria; Pseudomonadati; Pseudomonadota; Gammaproteobacteria; Enterobacterales; Enterobacteriaceae. The record is from RNAcentral.
GGUUCUCCAGUGCGGGGAAGGGUGAGAAGCUUCGACCAAGGUUCGAUUCGAGCGUAGCGAGAAAGCGUUGCCGCAGGCAACGACCCGAAGGGCGAAGCGCGAAGCGCUGAGUAAUCCUUCCCCCACCACCA